GUUGGGGUGCGCUUGUUUCCUUCCACUGAGCGUACCUGUGUUGCUACUUCCCUGACCCAGGUCAUACGGAGCAAAAUCUGGACGUAAGUGUUCGUAUGCAUCCGGUGCGCAGCGUGAUUUUGUGAAAUAGGUCAAUCUACUUCAAUGGAUAGCUCAACUCAGUGAAGUACAAUGACAAUGGAUGAUUCAAACUAUCUGGAAACUCUGCUGAGGCAUCAAAUUCUGGAGCAGUUGCAGAGCCAAAUGAAAUAUGUUCUCCGUCAUCAAUUGUAGCAACACAGGCACAGUCAGUAGAAGGAAACAAGCGCACCCCAACUAAGCCUGUGACCUAGCAGUUGCACACUGUCAUUCUGUUGGCUGAUACGGUUGCUAGGAGAUGAUACGAAUUUAAUCUGAGAGAGAGCAAAAAGAAUUUGCGAGCAGGGAAGAAACCUGAGAGCGCAGUUUUGAUCUGAGCAGAGAACAAGUUUGCACGUAUGGAGGAUGAAGCAAACAGGAGGAGAAAUUACCUAUGCAAGAAGCAUUAGAUCAGAGCGCAGACACAAAGAUUUGAGUGAGAACAGAGUAUAUUUGAAAGAAAGCAUAUUUUGUUUUGUUGCAAGCAUGACUAAGUUUGAGUACAAGCAGAAUGAAAUCCUGCUCUCAAAUUGAAAAUAUGUGCUCUUGAUUUUGGCAGUAAAUUUCCCCCAUAUGCUGUGGUUACGAAGCUCAAUGAAAAAAAGGGCCACAGAGAUACAGACUGCUCUGAAGUUUGGUGCUGGAAAUGUUUGAAAAUUUACCUUGAAAAUGCUUGAAAAGUGCUUAAACCUUAAACCCUGUCAUAAGAAAUACCAUUCCUGUAGGGAAUACAGGCGCUCUGGCCAGAUGAGGCAAAAAUGAACUGAUGGUUCUACAUGCAAAAGAGUAACAGUGCACAUCAACCCGAACAUGCCAUUUACAAGGCAAAACCUGGUGGUGGCGGUGAGGGGAAUGUUAUUUUUCAGCAGAUACAGGAAAGGUUAGAGUUCAUGUAAGGAGGGUUAGAGCUAAAUAAAAGACAAUGCUGGAAAAAAAAAAUAGUUUGGGAGGCUGCAAAAGAAAUGUACACACACAUUUUAGAUUUUUUUUGUAAAUAUAACAAAAAUGUAUCAUUUUUCUUUCAAUUCACAAUUAUUGCCUACUUUAGCUUGUCACAUAAAAUCUCAAUAAAAUACAAUAAGGUUUGUGGUGAAAAUGUUCAAA
Molecule: long non-coding RNA, 1221 nt
Organism: Girardinichthys multiradiatus
Lineage: Eukaryota; Metazoa; Chordata; Actinopteri; Cyprinodontiformes; Goodeidae
Exons: 2
Source: RefSeq, a predicted model, not a curated record